Molecule: long non-coding RNA, 2431 nt
Organism: Nelumbo nucifera (sacred lotus)
Lineage: Eukaryota; Viridiplantae; Streptophyta; Magnoliopsida; Proteales; Nelumbonaceae
Source: RefSeq, a predicted model, not a curated record
GAGCUGUAAUAUCAGGCCUAAGUUGUGGAGGGGACUGGGCUCCCAAAGCAUGACUCAUAGACAGCAUAGCACGACACGCAUGUGGCCUGGACCCCUCACAUGGUUAUAUUUGCAUGUUGGGGAUAUUUUGAUUAAAAUACCCCCGAAUAACUAGCGAGUGCUCUGUGAGGGAGUGCUUUUUUCAAAAGAACAAUGAAUCUCCAUUUUCGGGAGUGAAAAUCACGGCAAUGGAAGAUAAGAAAAAAGCUUCGAUGAAGAAAUUAGUGAGAAAUGAAAUCAAAUCAACGGAUUUAUAUGUGAAAAUCCUUUCAGACAAACCCUUGAAUGUCUCAAGAGUAAUAGCAUAGAUCCAAAACAUGUGGUGGUGGAUCAAAGGCUCAUUGGCUAUUGAAAGAGCAAGUGAUGAUGUGCUAUGGAUAUCUUUCUCAAGGGAGAAGGAUAUUCGAAACAUACUGAGGGAAGAACCAUGGACAGUUAAGGAUUACCCCCUGAUUUUAGUCCAGAGUUCUGAUACGUGCUUGGUUGAUGAGGUGUGCUUUGAAUACCAUUGAUAUGUGGGUAAGGAUAUUAAACGUUCCAAUCGCCUAUCGAACCAAGGAAAUGACAAACAUUCUGGCUCAAGAAGCUGGAAUGGUAGUAGAAGCUGAGUUUGACGGAGGAAGAAGAAAAAAGAAAACUGAAGAAUAGAAUAAAGGGCUGAGGAUAAGGGUGAAAAUAGAUGUGAGGAACCCCCUUGCGUUAGGAACCAAAGGAACUUUAGAAAAUGGAUGAGAAGGGGGGUUCCUAUUCCAAUAUGAAAACCUUCCCAUUUUUUGCUACAGAUGCAGACACCUGGGUCAUUUGGAGAAAUCAUGUAAAGAGGUGAAUUUGGAGCAAGUAAUUGAUGGCCUUUCCUCUAAAUUUACUAGGCAAAAUAUGGUGAACACGAGAGUUCCGGAGGAAUAUGGACCAUGGAUGAGAGCAGAAGUUGGUGAUGCAAAUAAUAGGUUCAUCAAUGCAAAAUAUCUUGAGAUUGGCCAGAACAAGCAAAAAAGAAGGAUACUGGAGCGGAUAAAAAUGCAGAGGUGGGAUUAGGGAGCAUCAAAGAGUACAUCAAAGUGAAGGAGCCAGAUGCCGAGAACAUGCCAAAUCUUCAGAUAAUCAAAACACCAGUAAAGAGAAGAUUAUUUCAUCAGAAAGAAAAGACGAUGCGGUGGAGAGGUUUUCAAAAGGUUUUAGAGGGAACAUCAAUGUUAUCCUAUCUCCGGUGUUUGUUUUUCCGUGAGGCACGACGGUGAUCACAGAAGAACGAUGGGUGAGGAGGCAGGUCAACCCAGGUCAAUCCACCUUUACCUAUCCUGGCUAUGGUGUCAGGGAAAUCUCUGCAAAUUUGUUUCCGUGUUACACAAAUCAAGGAAAAGCAAAACUUGCAAAUUGAAGCCUUGCCGAAAAUGAGUAGUGAGGUCGAUGGGCCGAUAAACCCAAAAAUAGGUUUAGAUGCAAAUUCGGGAAAUCCCUCAGACGAAGAAUCUCUGGCAUCCUCGGAAAAAGGAACAGAGGAAGACUUUCAAGUGGCGGGAAAGCAACCAUCUUCAGAUUCGGAGGCGACCUAGGAUACCUCAAAUACUUUGGGUCAAAACCCAAAUCCGAUGCUAAAAGAUAGCAACGGGAGGGAGUCGGCUGAGAGGGCAACAGGGUAAAAAAGAUUCAGAGAUUGUUUUGGGUUUCGUUCAAGGAGGCUUCUCUCCAGAAGGUCUGACUUAUUGCUCAAAGGUCCACGAGUCAUCGACAGAUCAGAUGAUAGUUACAUUUUCUCAAAGGUUGAUCUUAGAGAAGCGGGUACUCUUCUGGAAGCCAUCUCCCUCUAUGAAAAAGCUUCAGGCCAAUAGGUCAAUAGUGGAGAAAUCUCAAAUUUGGCUACAGAAAUUGGAAAGCUCUUCAAAGAGUGAAAGGAAGACGACCACUGCUUUUUGGUGCCCUCUAGACUCAUGCUGAUUAAAGAUCAACACGGAUGGAGGUUUUUUUGAAAAGAAUAAAGCUUCCUUUGGUUUUGUGGUUCAAGAUGUGGAUGGUUGUUGCUAGGGAGCUGAUUUUGGGCAAAUAUCGGCGUGCUCGACUCUUUUGGCUGAAGUUAAAGCUCUCCUAAAAGUAGUCCAAUUUGCAAUUGACAACAAUUUACAGAGUGUUUUUUUAAUCUGAUUGUGAUGUUCUGAUAGAUAGUUUAUCUGGUUGCAGCUCUACUAUUCCAAAUGUUUUGUUUUUCUUUAUUGAGGAUAUUAAAGCUCUUUCAGCAGGAAGAAGUUUCAUUUUUGUGAAAUCCUUAAGAGAAGCUAAUACAACUGCUCAUGCUACAACAAGAUGUGGUUUCAGUCAAUCAUUUAGAUUUGGAUCAGCAAUUCCCCUCUGUUUGGCAUUAAAUCUGUAUUCAGAUUUUAAAUCUUCUUUCUUUGUU